UGUCUUCGGGGCGGGGUGAAAUUCCCCACCGGCGGUAAAAGCCCGCGAACGCUUGGCCCGCUGCUUUGGCAGGGGCGAAGCGCCGAUCCGGUGUAAUUCCGGAGCCGACGGUGAGACGCAGGGGGAUCCCUCUCUGCGGCGAGUCCGGAUGGAAGAAGAU
Molecule: non-coding RNA, 160 nt
Filed under: human gut metagenome
Description: FMN riboswitch (RFN element)
Rfam family: FMN riboswitch aptamer (RFN element)
About the family: The RFN element is a highly conserved domain that is found frequently in the 5'-untranslated regions of prokaryotic mRNAs that encode for flavin mononucleotide (FMN) biosynthesis and transport proteins. This element is a metabolite-dependent riboswitch that directly binds FMN in the absence of proteins.
Source: RNAcentral